AUGAACGCUGGCGGCGCGCCUAACCCCUGCAAGUCGCACGAUUAAAGCACCUUCGGGUGUGUAUAAAGUGGCGAACGGCUGAGUAACACGUGGGCAACCUGCCCCUCUCAUUGGGAUAGCCACGGGAAACCGUGGAUAAUACCGAAUACUUCGGGACUUCCGCAUGGAAGACUCGAGAAAGCUCCGGCGGAGAGGGAUGGGCCCGCGGCCUGUUAGCUUGUUGGUGGGGUAAUGGCCUACCAAGGCAAUGAUGGGUAGCUGGGUUGAGAGACCGACCAGCCAGAUUGGGACUGAGACACGGCCCAGACUCCUACGGGAGGCAGCAGUGGGGAAUCUUGCACAAUGGGCGAAAGCCUGAUGCAGCGACGCCGCGUGCGGGAUGAAGGCCUUCGGGUUGUAAACCGCUUUCAGCAGGGACGAGGCGAAAGUGACGGUACCUGCAGAAGAAGCCCCGGCUAACUACGUG
This 466-nucleotide ribosomal RNA is filed under the name uncultured bacterium. Its description in RNAcentral is "partial 16S ribosomal RNA". It matches the Rfam family "Bacterial small subunit ribosomal RNA", at positions 29 to 507 of the family's 1533-position model. The record is from RNAcentral.